This 497-nucleotide ribosomal RNA is filed under the name uncultured bacterium. RNAcentral's name for it is "partial 16S ribosomal RNA". It matches the Rfam family "Bacterial small subunit ribosomal RNA", at positions 28 to 507 of the family's 1533-position model. The record is from RNAcentral.
GAUGAACGCUGGCGGCGUGCCUAAUACAUGCAAGUCGAGCGAACGGACGCGACGCUUGCUUUUCUGAUGUUAGCGGCGGACGGGUGAGUAACACGUGGAUCACCUCCCUAUCAGACUGGGAUAACUUCGGGAAACCGGAGCUAAUCCCGGAUAAUAUUUUGAACCGCAUGGUUCAAAAGUGAAAGACGGUCUUGCUGUAGCUUCUCGAUGGAUCCGCGCUGCUUUAGCUAGUUGGUAGGGUAAAGGCUUACCAAGGCCACGAUGCAUAGCCGACCUGAGCGGGGGGUCGGCGGCAUGGGAACUGGGACACGGUCAUGAGGCCUAAGGUAGGGAGCAGUAGGGAAUGUGCCGCAGUGGGCGAGAGCCUUACGGAGCGACGCCGCGUGAGUGAUGAAGGUCUUCGGAGCGGAAAACUCUCUUAUGAGGGAAAAACAGAUUUGUAAUUAAAUGUACAGAGCGUGACGGUACCUAAUCAGAAAGCCACGGCUAACUACGUG